AGUUCUUUGGAACAAGACGUCAUAGAGGGUGAGAAUCCCGUAUGUGACUGGUUGCCUGUGCCCGUGUGAAGCUCCUUCGACGAGUCGAGUUGUUUGGGAAUGCAGCUCAAAAUGGGUGGUAAAUUUCAUCUAAAGCUAAAUAUUGGCCAGAGACCGAUAGCGCACAAGUAGAGUGAUCGAAAGAUGAAAAGCACUUUGGAAAGAGAGUUAAACAGUACGUGAAAUUGUUGAAAGGGAAGCGCUUGCAAUCAGACUUGCACGGCGUCGAUCAGCCUGGGUUCUCCCUGGUGCACUCGGCGCCGUUCAGGCCAGCAUCAGUUUUGACGGUGGGAUAAAGGCCUAGGGAACGUGGGUCGCCUCGGCGACCGUUAUAGCCCUAGGUGCCAUGCCGCCUGUUGGGA
Molecule: ribosomal RNA, 401 nt
Filed under: Leotiomycetes sp. genotype 124
Lineage: Eukaryota; Fungi; Ascomycota; Leotiomycetes
Description: eukaryotic LSU rRNA
Rfam family: Eukaryotic large subunit ribosomal RNA
Source: RNAcentral